This 77-nucleotide transfer RNA is filed under the name Burkholderiales bacterium. RNAcentral describes it as "tRNA-Met". It matches the Rfam family "tRNA". From Rfam's summary of the family: Transfer RNA (tRNA) molecules are approximately 80 nucleotides in length. The record is from RNAcentral. Lineage: Bacteria; Pseudomonadati; Pseudomonadota; Betaproteobacteria; Burkholderiales. RNAcentral also lists the same sequence under 1 other name.
GGCAAUGUAGCUCAGCUGGUUAGAGCACAGCAUUCAUAAUGCUGGGGUCGGUGGUUCAAGUCCACCCAUUUCUACCA